RNAcentral lists this ribosomal RNA (390 nucleotides) under Triticum aestivum (bread wheat). Its description in RNAcentral is "partial small subunit ribosomal RNA". Lineage: Eukaryota; Viridiplantae; Streptophyta; Magnoliopsida; Poales; Poaceae. The record is from RNAcentral.
AUGUAUCAUGUUGUCAUGGGUGAUGAUCCAGAGGUGAAGGUUGGCCAGCCAUCUUCUGAUGUUUUCAUUUCUGCCAUGAGGAUGUUUAUAGGUCGCAGCAGCAAGGGUGAGGUGGAGUGCGGGGAAUGCAGGCAUAGGCAAGAUGUUGCGCUGAGGUUACCAGCUACACAUGCAUCACUGCCUCCAGUCAAAUUUGGGCGACUGGCAUUUCGGAAAAAUAUUCAAAAGAUCAUGCUGGGGCAUGCGACGACACCUCACGCAUUGACACCAAGUAAAACCUAUAUCGGAUGCCAAGGAGCCUUUCUCACUUGCUCCUACGGAACCAAGGUUAAAGGGAUUGGAAAAACCAGUCAUUCACAACCACCGAUGAAGGAUUCGCUAAAAAGUUAA